Non-coding RNA from Termitomyces sp. Mi166#008, 92 nucleotides. NCBI's taxonomy places the organism in Eukaryota, Fungi, Basidiomycota, Agaricomycetes, Agaricales, Lyophyllaceae. The record is from the annotation of a GenBank genome assembly.
UCGGAUAUGGUGUAACGGCUAACAUUGCCGCCUCUCAUUGUGAAUGCAAGCAUUGGCCGCGGCAGCUCGGGGUUCGAUUCCCCGUAUCCGAA